GCACAAGCGGUGGAGCAUGUGGUUUAAUUCGACGCAACGCGCAGAACCUUACCAGCCCUUGACAUGUCCAGGACCGGUCGCAGAGAUGUGACCCUCUCUUCGGAGCCUGGAACACAGGUGCUGCAUGGCUGUCGUCAGCUCGUGUCGUGAGAUGUUGGGUUAAGUCCCGCAACGAGCGCAACCCCCGUCCUUAGUUGCUACCAUUUAGUUGAGCACUCUAAGGAGACUGCCGGUGAUAAGCCGCGAGGAAGGUGGGGAUGACGUCAAGUCCUCAUGGCCCUUACGGGCUGGGCUACACACGUGCUACAAUGGCGGUGACAGUGGGAUGCUAAGGGGCGACCCUUCGCAAAUCUCAAAAAGCCGUCUCAGUUCGGAUUGGGCUCUGCAACUCGAGCCCAUGAAGUUGGAAUCGCUAGUAAUCGUGGAUCAGCACGCCACGGUGAAUACGUUCCCGGGC
Molecule: ribosomal RNA, 457 nt
Filed under: uncultured bacterium
Lineage: Bacteria
Description: bacterial SSU rRNA
Rfam family: Bacterial small subunit ribosomal RNA
Source: RNAcentral